GCUCAAGUGGUCUAACGGUUAUGAUGCGACCUUCCCAUAACGCCAGACAGGUCGCGAACGGGGUUCGACUCCCCGCUUGAGCA
Marasmius sp. AFHP31 is the source of this 83-nucleotide non-coding RNA. Lineage: Eukaryota; Fungi; Basidiomycota; Agaricomycetes; Agaricales; Marasmiaceae. The record is from the annotation of a GenBank genome assembly.